RNAcentral lists this ribosomal RNA (1878 nucleotides) under human gut metagenome. RNAcentral's name for it is "bacterial LSU rRNA". It matches the Rfam family "Bacterial large subunit ribosomal RNA", at positions 3 to 1977 of the family's 2925-position model. The record is from RNAcentral.
UCAAGCUACAAAGAGCACAAGGGGAAUGCCUUGGCACCGAGAGCCGAAGAAGGACGUGACUAACUGCGAUAAGCUACGGGGAGCUGUAAGUGAGCGUUAUAUCCGUAGAUUUCCGAAUGGAGCAAUCCGAUUAGAGGAAAGUCUAAUCAUCAUAUACUGAAUACAUAGGUAUAUGAGGGGAACCGCCUGAACUGAAACAUCUAAGUAGGGCGAGGAAGAGAAAUCAACAGAGAUUCCGUAAGUAGUGGCGAGCGAACGCGGAAGAGGCCAAACCUAAUGUAGUAAUAUGUUAGGGGUUCGGACAGUAAAAUGAAUUGUCGAGAUUUAGCCGAAUGUCAUGGGAAGGGCAAUCAAAGAAGGUGAAAAUCCUGUAGGCGAAAAGUUAAGACAUCAGACUGUAUCCAGAGUACCGCCGGACACGUGAAACCCGGUGGGAAUACGGGGGGACCAUCCUCCAAGCCUAAAUACUACUCGGUGACCGAUAGAGAAGAAGUACUGUGAAGGAAAGGUGAAAAGCACCCCGGAAGGGGAGUGAAAGAGAACCUGAAACCUUGUGUUUACAAGCACCGAAAGUUCAUCAACGAACGAUCGGGUACCUUUUGUAGAAUGGUCCGGCGAGUGAAUGUAACUGGCAAGGUUAAGCACUUAAGGUGUGAAGCCGUAGCGAGAGCGAGUCUGAAAAGGGCGCAUGAAGUCAGUUGUAUUCGACCCGAAACCGGGUGACCUACCCAUGUCCAGGCUGAAGUGCAGGUAAAACUUCAUGGAGGGCCGAACCGACUCCCGUUGAAAUGGUAGCGGAUGAGGUGUGGGUAGCGGAGAAAUUCCAAUCGAACCCGGAGAUAGCUGGUUCUCUCCGAAAUAGCUUUAGGGCUAGCCUUGGAAUAGAUUACUGGAGGUAAAGCACUGAAUUGGCUAGGGGCCGAGAGGUUACUGAACCUUAUCAAACUAAGAAUGCCAGAUAAUCGUUUUCCAGGAGUCAGACAGUGGGAGAUAAGUUUCAUUGUCAAAAGGGAAACAGCCCAGACCUACAGCUAAGGUCCCAAAGUAUAGUUAAGUGGAAAAGGAUGUGGAAUUGCAUAGACAACCAGGAUGUUGGCUUAGAAGCAGCCACUCAUUAAAAGAGUGCGUAAUAGCUCACUGGUCGAGUGAUUCUGCGCCGAAAAUUUAACGGGGCUAAACUAUACACCGAAGCUUAGGAUACCGCAAGGUAUGGUAGGAGAGCGUUCUGUACGGAGUGAAGUCGUAGCGAAAGCGGCGGUGGACUGUACAGAAGUGAGAAUGCCGGAAUAAGUAGCGAGAAUUAAGUGAGAAUCUUAAUGGCCGAAAGUCUAAGGUUUUUGGAGGAAGGUUCGUCCGCUCCAAGUAAGUCGGGAGCUAAGGUCAGGCCGAAAGGCGUAGCCGAUGCACAAACGGUUGAUAUUCCGUUACCGUCUACAAUUUAAACAAAGGGACACAUACAAAGCGUUUAACCCGGGCGAUGGUUGACCCGGGCGCAAGGGACUGAAAUAAGAGUAGGGAAGUAAAUGUGGCGUAUGGCGAGAAAAGCUUUGUGUAUAGAAGUAGACGCCCGUACCGCAAACCGACACAGGUGGACAGGAAGAGAAUUCUAAGGCCAGCGGGAGAAGGGUAGUUAAGGAACUCGGCAAAUUGACUCCGUAACUUCGGAAUAAGGAGUGCUCGAAAGAGCCGCAGAGAAUAGGCCCAGGCGACUGUUUAGCAAAAACACAGGUCUCUGCCAAAUCGAAAGAUGAAGUAUAGGGGCUGACACCUGCCCGGUGCCGGAAGGUUAAGAGGAGGAGUGCAAGCUCCGAAUUGAAGCCCCGGUAAACGGCGGCCGUAACUAUAACGGUCCUAAGGUAGCGAAAUUCCUUGUCGGGU